AUCUCAGUUCAGACUGCAGGCUGCAACUCGCCUGCACGAAGUCGGAAUUGCUAGUAAUCGCGGAUCAGCAUGCCGCGGUGAAUACGUUCCCGGGUCUUGUACACACCGCCCGUCACACCAUGGGAGUCGGAAAUGCCCGAAGUCUGUGACCCAACCGAAAGGAGGGAGCAGCCGAAGGCAGGUCGGAUGACUGGGGUGAAGUCGUAACAAGGUAUC
Molecule: ribosomal RNA, 216 nt
Filed under: uncultured bacterium
Lineage: Bacteria
Description: partial 16S ribosomal RNA
Rfam family: Bacterial small subunit ribosomal RNA
Source: RNAcentral